AUGCGGGAACUUUUCAUGCGAUGGAACCUCUGCACUGUGAUGGUGGUGGCGGCUGUACCUUGCAUCCAACUCUCCGAACGCAAGGAAUUUUGGAACUGGCAUCCCCUUGAGGUUGGUAUCGCGAUGACUACAGCAGCUGUUCUGGAAAUGCCAUCUCUACUUGACAGUGGCCCGGAAGAAAGCAGCUAAUUUUCCUCAGUGGCCACCUGGAGGAUUGAGGAAAGAAAGUUGGAGCAAAUUUCUCCCCACAUCCCACUGGCCUUGGGCCUAGGUGUUUACGAGUGUGACUGUCUCAAGGUGGAGGAUUUUGUGUAAUUUUCAAUUUCUUCCUUAUGUCGAAUCAAAUUUUAAAAAUCAAAUGUAUUGUUACUCUGGUCCAGAGUUCAAUCCCCGGUACCAAAAUAAACACAUAAAAUAAAGCUGUUUUUAUUAUGAAACAGUUAUUUCAUAAUAAUAGUGAGUUGAGAUGAGAAUAGACAUAUUUAUCUCAUUAAAGUUUCACUUUUAUCGAGAUCUUGGCAGGAAGUUUUGUUUUUUAAAAUGUAAUCUUUGCUUAAAUGGCCC
RNAcentral lists this long non-coding RNA (564 nucleotides) under Fukomys damarensis (Damara mole-rat). RNAcentral's name for it is "lncRNA (ENSFDAG00000031103.1)". The record is from RNAcentral. Lineage: Eukaryota; Metazoa; Chordata; Mammalia; Rodentia; Bathyergidae.